UGAGUAACGCGUGGGUAACCUGCCUAUGCAGGGGGAUAACAGUUAGAAAUGACUGCUAAUACCGCAUAAGCGCACGGGGCCGCAUGGCCGUGUGUGAAAAGAUUUAUCGGCAUAAGAUGGACCCGCGUCUGGAUUAGGUAGUUCGGUGAGGUAACGGCCCACCAAGCCUGCGAUCAGUAGCCGACUUGAGAGAGUGAUCGGCCACAUUGGGACUGAGACACGGCCCAGACUCCUACGGGAGGCAGCAGUAGGGAAUAUUGCACAAUGGGGGAAACCCUGAUGCAGCGACGCCGCGUGAGUGAAGAAGUAUUUCGGUACGUAAAGCUCUAUCAGCAGGGAAGAUAAUGACGGUACCUGACUAAGAAGCCCCGGCUAACUACGUGCCAGCCGCGGC
Molecule: ribosomal RNA, 394 nt
Filed under: uncultured bacterium
Lineage: Bacteria
Description: bacterial SSU rRNA
Rfam family: Bacterial small subunit ribosomal RNA
Source: RNAcentral